AGGUUGGAGUAUGAUAAGGUCCCCAGGUGUCCACAUGAAUCAGUUGAAAAGGCCUAGAGGUUCUAAUGGAGCUAUCAGGGAAAGGAAGCCUAGUCUGUUUGGCCAUAGGACAGACUAUACAGGGAAAGGGUUGUUUGGAAGCAAAAGGAAAAGACAGACCCGAAAUGCAUUUCAUAUUUGCAAAUGGAGUAUGUGCAAGUCUUAAGUCCAAAUGUAAUUCAUAUCAGAUGCAAAAUCAUUAUUACAAAUGGAACUAUUUAC
Molecule: long non-coding RNA, 261 nt
Filed under: Nicotiana benthamiana
Lineage: Eukaryota; Viridiplantae; Streptophyta; Magnoliopsida; Solanales; Solanaceae
Description: long non-coding RNA (NBEN_LNC034977)
Source: RNAcentral